This is a long non-coding RNA of Xenopus laevis (African clawed frog), 603 nucleotides long. RefSeq lists it as uncharacterized. The transcript is spliced from 3 exons. Lineage: Eukaryota; Metazoa; Chordata; Amphibia; Anura; Pipidae. The record is from RefSeq and is a predicted model, not a curated record.
CGACAGAGCAAGACUCAUUGAAAUGAUCACCUUGGGUGAGCUUGUAAUACCUCAAUGGCUGGAUGAUGAUCUAAUAGAUCUUCUGGAAAAGCUCCUUACAAAGAAUCCGAGGCGACGGGGAAGCCUUGAAGACGAAUUGGACAACGGAUGGCUGGAAAGGGAGAGAGUCCAGUUCUAUUCGGCAGAGAUGAUAUGCGGCCUGCAGUUCCUGCACAGCAAGGGGAUCAUCCAUCGGUCAGUAUAGAUUUCUUCAUCUCUGUAACAUUCUACAGCAGAGGCCACACUCAGGUUGCUCUGCAAAUCAGCCGCCCUUGCCUUCUUCUUGUGUGUAGUGUAACUCCUUUAAUCUCUUUAUUACAGAGACAUCAAACCCCUCAACAUCUUGUUCGAUCACAAAGGCCAUGCUAGGAUUUCAGACUUCGGCCUGGCUGUACAAAAUGUCUUUAAAGAUGAUACCAUCACUGGCGAGCACGGAACUCUGGCAUACAUGGCCCCGGAGGUAAGACAUGGAAUUACAGUAUAUUUACAGUAGAAACCAAGUAAAAAUAAAUAGUAAAGGAGAAUAUGGCAAGGACAAAAGGACUGUAUCUAGCUCACGCCUAU